UGUCUCUUGAUUGCUUGCACAUAUGCUUUGGCUUGACUCUUUUUGAUGAUUCUUGAUUUAUAUGCAUGUUUGAAAGUGAUAAAGGCAGUUUUGUUGUUGAGCCUCUCUAGCCAAAUGAGCCUACCUUGUUGUGAUCCUUUGAUAGCUCCUUUGAGCCUAUGCUUUUCCCAUUUCUUUGUUUUGAAGCUGAUACACUAGCCCUAAGUGAAAAACCAUGAUUACCUUAACCUUAGGGAAUUUUGGAGCUUUGGAAUUGUUUUGGGAAUAUGUGUGGUCUUCCGAGGGAUUCAGAGAAUUGGCUAGUUGGUUCCUCUUCUUGUUUUGUUUUGUAAAUAUGUUGUGUAUCUUGUCUCUUAGAGUUGUAUUCUGAAAAGAGAGAAAAGAAAAGAGAUAAGAUGAAAAAAAAAGAAAAAAAAAUACAGAAAAAUGAAAAAAAAAAAAAGAGAAAGAAAGAAAAAAAAAUUGUUUUGUGAACAAUGGAGUCAAGAAGAGGAUUUAAUUAGAGGUUUUGGGUGUGAUUUGAUUGUGUUUACAUUUGUUCCCCAUUGCUCCUCUAUUUCUUUUGGUUUGUA
Molecule: long non-coding RNA, 572 nt
Filed under: Vigna radiata
Lineage: Eukaryota; Viridiplantae; Streptophyta; Magnoliopsida; Fabales; Fabaceae
Description: long non-coding RNA (VRAD_LNC012983)
Source: RNAcentral